Molecule: ribosomal RNA, 492 nt
Filed under: uncultured bacterium
Lineage: Bacteria
Description: bacterial SSU rRNA
Rfam family: Bacterial small subunit ribosomal RNA
Source: RNAcentral
AGGUUCGAUUCUGGCUCAGGAUGAACGCUGGCGGCGUGCCUAACACAUUCAAGUCGAACGAACUGUAGAAAUACAGUGAGUGGCGGACGGGUGAGUAACGCGUAAGCAAUCUGCCUUUUGUGUGUGGAAUAACAACCGGAAACAGUUUGCUAAUACCGCAUAACGCAUAGGAGUCGCAUGGCUCUUAUGCCAAAGAUUUAUCGCACGAAGAUGAGCUUGCGUCCGAUUAGAUAGUUGGCGGGGUAACGGCCCACCAAGUCUGCGAUCGGUAGCCGGACUGAGAGGUUGAACGGCCACAUUGGAACUGAGAUACGGUCCAGACUCCUACGGGAGGCAGCAGUGGGGAAUAUUGGGCAAUGGACGAAAGUCUGAACCCCCAGCGACGCCGCGUGAGGGAAGAAGGUCUUCGGAUUGUAAACCUUAGCCAACAGGGACGAAGCAAGUGACGGUACCUGUGGAGGAAGCCACGGCUAACUACGUGCCAGCAGCAGC